AUGCUCUCUUCAGCAGCACAUAUACUAAAAUUGGAACGGAGAAGAUUAGCAUGGCCCCGCUGCAAGGAUGACACACAAAUUCAUGAAGUAUUUCAUAUUUUU
This is a small nuclear RNA of Dromiciops gliroides (monito del monte), 102 nucleotides long. Lineage: Eukaryota; Metazoa; Chordata; Mammalia; Microbiotheria; Microbiotheriidae. The record is from RefSeq and is a predicted model, not a curated record.